This is a long non-coding RNA of Hevea brasiliensis (rubber tree), 488 nucleotides long. RefSeq lists it as uncharacterized. Lineage: Eukaryota; Viridiplantae; Streptophyta; Magnoliopsida; Malpighiales; Euphorbiaceae. The record is from RefSeq and is a predicted model, not a curated record. The transcript has 3 exons.
ACCAAAAUACGCCAUUCUCUCAUCUCAGUCAAAAAUAACGCCUGAUCAUCCUUCCCUUCCGCUGCACAGUGAGUGGAUAUCAAGCUCGCUUACUCAUCCUUCCCCUCCACACAAUAUUGCAGAGGAGGAGAAGGAGGAGCUUCUUGAAAGCCAAAUCAUGUACACAACUUUCAAACUUCUUCUCAAUUGUAGACAAUGGAAAGAAUUUCACUCAAGUCGACAGCAUUUUUUGUUAUCUUCUUUCUUGCCUCUUCUGGUUUGUGGGGGGAAUAUGAAGGAGGAGCAGAAGCAUUUCAUUUAAGAUGUCCUAGGACGAUAGAUUGCAAUCAAGUGUGUAAUGGCUUCCCUAAUUGUUGCAUUGAUGGGCAAUGCUAUUGUAAUCCUUGCCCUUCCAUUGCCCAUCAGCACCUACCUUUAAAUGUCUAAGCUUAACCCCUCCUAAUAAUAAAUGAGUUUUAUCAGUAAAAUAAUGGAUUUUUUCUCCUUAA